Molecule: non-coding RNA, 204 nt
Filed under: uncultured Oxalobacter sp.
Lineage: Bacteria; Pseudomonadati; Pseudomonadota; Betaproteobacteria; Burkholderiales; Oxalobacteraceae
Source: RNAcentral
CCAGUGCAUCUUUCUGAUGUGCGGUUAAACGGGAAACACGGAGCCGUCUGUAAUGGCCAACGUGUGCUGCCCCCGCAACGGUAAGCAGGUGUUCCGAAAGGAAUCCGUCAUCCAUCUUGUACCACUGUGCCUGAGAUGCAUGGGAAGGUCUGAUGACGGUCUCGAGUGAUCGAAAAGCCUGUAGCCCGGAUACCGGCCGGAAUG